GUGGGGAGUUAACGUUUCCUUGGGUCUGCAGACUUUCCAGAGAUAUGGUGUCUACUUAGGAGAAACAAAAUCAUAAAUGCAGCACUGUGUCCAGUUCUGCACCAGACGGCCAGAUGGUGCGGAAGGCAGACCUGCGGGGUGGAGGCCCCGGCGUGGGAGAGGGCGAGGUCGGCGGCUGGCCCCCGCCCCGGGCAGAUGGUCCGCGGAGUCGGGGCGAGGCGGGCCCCUGGCUCACAGAAGGCCGGAGGUGCGCGGUGGCCGUCGGCGGAUCCGGAGGCGGGUGCGCGGUCACAGGGUGCUCAGGUGCGGCAGCGCGUCCAGGGACCCGGCUCGGUCGCGCGCGGCGGCCGCAGACUCCACGCCGCGCAGCCACUCGGUGCACUUGCGCACCAGGCCCUCGUCGGCGGCCGCGGCCUCCUCCUCGUACUCCACGUCGUCGUACUUGUGCCGGUCGUUGAGCAGCGACACCUUGAGCAGCGGGCGCAGAGUCACUGUAUGAACAAAGAUUUUUCAUUAGAACAACUCUUUCAAAUAUUUCCAGGAUGAAUCAAGUAUAUGCAGAAAACACUCCAAUCAUUGAAGUAAAUGCCAAGAAGAGUACGCCCAGGCCGGGGUGAAACUGUCGCUCGCGGGUGACUGUCGCCCGGGUCUGAACUGAACUGGAAAGGAUGGAGGCUGUGCUGGGAUGACGUCACUGCAGCGAGGGGCCAGAGAUGCUCACACGUCGUGCCUGGAGCCCACAGGUACCCAGAGAUGAGAGGUGCUGUUUACCACACAGACGCUGCUCGUCUGGUCCUCACCCGGGAGCUGGCCCCUGAUCAAAUUCAGCCCGUGAGCCCGUCCCAAGGCCAGGAAAUCAGCAUUUACUCUAAGAAGGGUUUCGUCUUCCUCCCUAAGUUCUUGGUUCUACUACGGCACACACUUCAAUGUGCAGAAAAGUUUCAAAAGGGAAAACACACAAACAUAUUUCAAAAAGGAAAAACAAAAUUUCCAAAAGGGAAACACGCUGGUUUUGUUUUUGCAGUUACACUCUUUUCCCAUAAAUGCUGUAGUUCACUUGUAUGGUUUGAUUCAAAGUGUUUUACUUGCUGUAGUAAGAGGUACUCAAACAUCCAGAACCAAAACUCAAUCUGAAUUUGAAAACAUGGUAAGCUGAUUCUAGUUUUAAAAAUCCUAUUUCAGUCCUGAGAAAGAGAGAACUUCAGGUCAUAACUAAAGGAUGCCCAAAUUUCUUCCGAUACUGGCCUGUUACUCUGAAGGCUCUGGAACUAGGAACACAUGCAGGAGGUUGUUUCGCUGUUAUUUGCCGUGGAAAUCAUAAUCCACUUUAUCCGGAUUGCCCCACUGAGACCUCACGAGAGCCUUAUGGAGGAAACCCAGUAAAACCUGCCUCUUACAGACAAAGAAACCAAGGUUCGCCGACUAACCCCACCGUGGUUGGGCUGAGACCCGUCCAGGCAGUGCGGCCCCAAUACGCCCCCACCCAGCACCCCGGGGUC
This 1499-nucleotide long non-coding RNA is filed under the name Sus scrofa (pig). RNAcentral describes it as "lncRNA (ENSSSCG00070027082.1)". Lineage: Eukaryota; Metazoa; Chordata; Mammalia; Artiodactyla; Suidae. The record is from RNAcentral.